Molecule: ribosomal RNA, 465 nt
Filed under: uncultured Klebsiella sp.
Lineage: Bacteria; Pseudomonadati; Pseudomonadota; Gammaproteobacteria; Enterobacterales; Enterobacteriaceae
Description: bacterial SSU rRNA
Rfam family: Bacterial small subunit ribosomal RNA
Source: RNAcentral
CCUACGGGUGGCAGCAGUGGGGAAUAUUGCACAAUGGGCGCAAGCCUGAUGCAGCCAUGCCGCGUGUGUGAAGAAGGCCUUCGGGUUGUAAAGCACUUUCAGCGGGGAGGAAGGCGGUGAGGUUAAUAACCUCAUCGAUUGACGUUACCCGCAGAAGAAGCACCGGCUAACUCCGUGCCAGCAGCCGCGGUAAUACGGAGGGUGCAAGCGUUAAUCGGAAUUACUGGGCGUAAAGCGCACGCAGGCGGUCUGUCAAGUCGGAUGUGAAACCCCCGGGCUCAACCUGGGAACUGCAUUCGAAACUGGCAGGCUAGAGUCUUGUAGGGGGGGGUAGAAUUCCAGGUGUAGCGGUGAAAUGCGUAGAGAUCUGGAGGAAUACCGGUGGCGAAGGCGGCCCCCUGGACAAAGACUGACGCUCAGGUGCGAAAGCGUGGGGAGCAAACAGGAUUAGAUACCCCUGUAGUC